This 505-nucleotide ribosomal RNA is filed under the name uncultured bacterium. RNAcentral's name for it is "partial 16S ribosomal RNA". It matches the Rfam family "Bacterial small subunit ribosomal RNA", at positions 28 to 507 of the family's 1533-position model. The record is from RNAcentral.
GACGAACGCUGGCGGCGUGCCUAAUACAUGCAAGUAGAACGCACAGUUUAUACCGUAGCUUGCUACACCAUAGACUGUGAGUUGCGAACGGGUGAGUAACGCGUAGGUAACCUGCCUGGUAGCGGGGGAUAACUAUUGGAAACGAUAGCUAAUACCGCAUAAUAUUGAUUAUUGCAUGAUAAUUGAUUGAAAGAUGCUAUUGCAUCACUACCAGAUGGACCUGCGUUGUAUUAGCUAGUAGGUGAGGUAACGGCUCACCUAGGCGACGAUACAUAGCCGACCUGGGAGGGUGAUCGGCCACACUGGGACUGAGACACGGCCCAGACUCCUACGGGAGGCAGCAGUAGGGAAUCUUCGGCAAUGGACGAAAGUCUGACCGAGCAACGCCGCGUGAGUGAAGAAGGUUGUCGGAUCGUAAAGCUCGGUUGUAAGAGAAGAACGGGUGUGAGAGUGGAAAGUUCACACUGUGACGGUAUCUUACCAGAAAGGGACGGCUAACUACGUG